Molecule: long non-coding RNA, 2406 nt
Filed under: Nicotiana tabacum (common tobacco)
Lineage: Eukaryota; Viridiplantae; Streptophyta; Magnoliopsida; Solanales; Solanaceae
Description: long non-coding RNA (NTAB_LNC013793)
Source: RNAcentral
CCCUAUAGGCAGGAUUUCUACAAUUAGCGAUUGAAACUAGCUUUAACUCCUAUAGGCAUGUCUCCUAAGUGAGCAAUUAUAACAACAAUACAUUAACCAAUUAAAACCCUAUAGGCAUGAUUUCUAAAAUGCAGAUUUGCAGAACAUAAGCUAACAUAACCCUAGGUUCAUAGUAUCUAAUGAAUAUGCCGUAAUGCAAAUUCAAACAUUGCUCACUUUAUUUCCUAUAGACAUGAUAUCUAACAAACAUGUAGAAGCAAAAUAUGUUAAAUGAAUUAAACACUCAAGUCAUAUAUGCAGGUUAUCUAACACACAUAGUAUCAAAAAAUGUUCGAGCAAAUUAAAUACCUAUAGGCAGUAUUUCUACCCGUUCAUGCAAAUAUUAGAAUAAACUCAUUUCCCAAUUUUAUUAACACCCCAAUUAUUAUUACAAUAUUAUUACAGACCCAAUGAGUGAAAUAAAUUACAGGGUUACAAAAUAACUAUAGUGGGCCUAAGAUAGGCCAAAGUAUACCCAGCCCAGCCAGGCCUUCAAUUACAUAUCCAACAGGCUUCACCACAACCCAGAAGUCAUAGCCAAUCAAACCCAGAAAAACAAUUUUCAUUUACACAAAAUAGAUAAAACCCAGUAGCCAGAGCUGAUCAACAGCCGUUUACACAAAUCAAUUGGUUUAUUCAGUAGGUAAAAAAAAGGAGGGGCAGAGUUGAACAAUUAGGACAAAGUGGCCCAAAGAACCUUAGACCCUAGUGUGUCAGAGUUCACAAGGGUCUCAAAAUGGACCCUGAGCAGUGCUCACACUAGGGAGGUUGAUAGAGAAGAUUUAGGGAAGGGGGGUCUUGGCUUUCAUCCGGCCUAGAAUUAGACUCAUAACAAGAAACAAUCAAUGAAAAAUAGUAAUAGGUUUGGAAAAGCAUUUGCAAACACUAUAAGAUAAUCACAUAGUGAACUCAAGAAGUAAACUAACACAUUGGGCAGGGUGUCAUAUGAUAAGAAACAAAGAGCCUGGGAUUGCAAAGUCAACAGACAAUGGCAUUAGACUAGUAAAACCCAGUAAUGCAACCAGUGUAGAACUUAAAGGAUCGGAUUAUACCAAACUCAGGAUUACACAAUAUAAUACAAACAGGAUUAGAUAUCAUGGAGGGUAUCAGUCAAGGAGGAUUAGUUUAAAGGAUAACAUUUUGUUAGAGGUGUAGAAUUGGACAUAGCAAGAACACAUAGAGUGGCAACCAUAGUCAUAGGAGCAUACUACACUUAGAGUAAAGGUUUUAAACAAGUUAAUGCAUGCUAAUAACAUCAAUUAAUCACUAGAAGUUCAGAUUUAGGCAGAGAACAUGGAUUAAACCAUAUAAUCAAGGCAGAACAUUCGAAUUAUCAAUAACACCAAACUAAACAUGCUUCAUUCUGUCUAAAUUAACUAAGUUAGGUACAAAGACAUUAUUAGGCUAGCAAUUAUAGGCAGAAUCACACAUAAAGAGAGUCAAGGGAAUACAUUAAGUCAUGCAGUUUCAAAGAACAUGCUAUCAUAAGAGAAUAAAUAUUGCGAGGGUUUAGAAACUAACCAAUGAUUGUUCACUAAACAAGAAAAGAACAACAGUAAGGACCUAGAGUCUCAAAUAUGUCAAGUUCCCAAAGGUUUCAAGAACCCAGUGCAGUGCUCACACCCAAGAGAUGGUCAGAAAAGUAGAAAUCUGGUGGCCUUGGCUUUCAGCCGGCCAAGAGCCAAACAGAACAGAAUAGUAAACAAAUACAGAGUAGAAACCUCAAUUUUUAGUGAGAGAAUAGUGAUUCCAGUCCUGUCCAAAAAGGGGAAGGGGGAUGGGUUUUUAUAGUAGCAUAAUUAAACACACAAACAAGGAAAAACAAUCAAUCAAUCUUAAAGAAAAAGGAAAGAAUAGCAUGCGGAACUGAUUCAGAAUCAAUUUAGGAGAAGUCAAGCAAACCCUAGUUUUUAGAAAAACAAAUAUUAUCAGAAUAUACACAAAAAUAAUAACAUAGGAUGAAUAUAGACACAAAUAACACUAAAAAUCAGAGAAUCGAACCAAUUUUGGUCCGAUUUAAGGAAAUCUGAAAACCCUAGUUUUAGGGUAAGUAAGAAUCAACAGAAUAUAAACAAAUAUUUGGACUCACAGUAGCAUAGGAUGAACAUAGACGGAAUAACAUUCAAAAUUCAGGGAUUUGAACUGAUUUUGGUUCGAUUUUGAUGAGAUCUGCUUGCCAUAUUUAGGCAAGCACUAUAGGAGAGUAGCCAGUACCAGAAGGGGGUCGAGUAUGGUAAGUAAUAGCCAUGGAAUCCCAUAUUAGGUGGGUUUAUGAGAAGAUUUAGGGGGCGGCGGCUAGGGUUCUUGAGAGAGGGAGAAGGGGUUGAGAGGAUAUCAUGGUGGCAUAUGAGGGGAGAGUGAGGUUAG